GGGUGAGUAACACGUGGAUAACCUACCUAUAAGGCUGGGAUAACUUCGGGAAACCGGAGCUAAUACCGGAUAAUAUUUUGAACCGCAUGGUUCAAAAGUGAAAGACGGUCUUGCUGUCACUUAUAGAUGGAUCCGCGCUGCAUUAGCUAGUUGGUAAGGUAACGGCUUACCAAGGCAACGAUGCAUAGCCGACCUGAGAGGGUGAUCGGCCACACUGGAACUGAGACACGGUCCAG
RNAcentral lists this ribosomal RNA (236 nucleotides) under uncultured Staphylococcus sp. RNAcentral describes it as "partial 16S ribosomal RNA". It matches the Rfam family "Bacterial small subunit ribosomal RNA", at positions 104 to 334 of the family's 1533-position model. The record is from RNAcentral. Lineage: Bacteria; Bacillati; Bacillota; Bacilli; Caryophanales; Staphylococcaceae.